This 1503-nucleotide long non-coding RNA is filed under the name Hordeum vulgare. Its description in RNAcentral is "long non-coding RNA (HVUL_LNC011915)". The record is from RNAcentral. Lineage: Eukaryota; Viridiplantae; Streptophyta; Magnoliopsida; Poales; Poaceae.
AUCAUGAAGAAUCUACUAUAUCUAACUAGGAGCCCCCGAGUACCUUAUUUCUCUUGGCAUGCAGGCUAUCCACAACACAAUUCAUAUGCAGCCUUCCACCUCAGCAAUUCUGCCAUGUCAACAAGUUCUUAUUUUCCUUUUUAACGAAAUGAAUCAUGUGAUUUUAGUCUCUCUAGUUGGUUUCUCUUCGUCUUCCGAAACUGAUGAGGCAGCCUAUUAAUAAGAGCCAAGACGCAUAGUCUUCACCUUCACUGCCUUCCAGGAUCCAGCCAUAUGCGUCUCAAAACAAUGAACUAAUAUCAUCUAUAUUCCAGAGUGGAAGACGCGUGCAGGUAAAUCAUUCACGACAGUCGUCAGGUCGUACCCAUUAAGCUAUACCGGCAUCCGACGUGCCGUCGUUCCGGUCCUCUAUCUGCUCCCAUUGGUGAAGGCCAUGAGCUCUACGAUCAACCUGCUGCACUUGGUCCGUACGACGACGCCGAGACGGUGGCUCCCAUUAUUUGAGUUUGAUUUCGUGGGAGGCAUUGGGCAGCCUUGGACGUCCAUGGAGGAGUGGCACCUGGCAUGGAAAAUCAGAGAUCAGGGAGGCAACAUCUAGGUAAUUGAGGCCCACACAGGAUCCUGUGUUUACUCUGCACAUCUCAUCUUCCAUCCAAUCGAAAUCUUGAAUGCCCCGUGGAAGAUGGAAAGCAGUUACGAGCUUGUGCUGCCCCAAAGCCGUCUCCUAGGUAUGCCAGCUGUCGCCUCUGGCUUCUCCAAUGGUCCGGCUUUUGGUGCGGAAGCAGGACUAGCCGAGCCCAUGUCAAAUCUACACAAUACAUCAUUUCAUUUCAUUCUAACAUAUCCUAUAUACACUGUCAACACCAAUGUGGGUCUUUUUUCUAUCUGUUUAUUUUUGCUAUAAAAGAAGUACUCUGUGGUUUUCGGAGUUCUAACCAUGGAAGGAAUUUGAUUAUAACAUAUCGUAUAUACACACUGUCAAGUGUCAACACAAAUCAGGGGCAUUUUCUCUAUUUGUGCUACUAUUAAAGAAGUACUCUGAUUUUGUAGUUCUAACUCUGCAAGGGAUUUCAAAGCAUUUUUGUGUAGUACUUGGACAUGGAUAGUUCAAUUUAGUUAUAUGAUUCACAACUACGUGCCCAUUCUCAAAUCAUGAUGGCCUCUAAUUUGGUGAGAUAUCUCUGUGACGUCACACCUUGCAGCCUUGGUGUUUGAUUUUUUUUCUGCCAACAAAUCAUUGAUUUUGUGAGAUUGAACUCUCAUACUCCAAUCGUAUUUGAAGAAUUGGCAGCAAUGACAGGUGAAUUGGUGGCGGUCUCGAAAUCAAACCAGUGAGGAACCUCUGUAUUCUACCUCACUCUAUCUUAAGAAUUCUGGUUUGAGCUUGCAUGUAUCCUGGCUUAUUAGUUGUUCAGUCCAGUUGUCAUGCUGGAGUGUUAUUUUGGAUAUUCUCCUUAUGGUUGUAUUUUCUUUGGGGACUAAACAUUAGCAACCACAGUUUAU